GACGAACGCUGGCGGCGUGCUUAACACAUGCAAGUCGAACGGAGAGGCCCUGCUUUUGUGGGGUGCUCGAGUGGCGAACGGGUGAGUAACACGUGAGUAACCUGCCCUUGACUUUGGGAUAACUUCAGGAAACUGGGGCUAAUACCGGAUAGGAGCUCCUGCUGCAUGGUGGGGGUUGGAAAGUUUCGGCGGUUGGGGAUGGACUCGCGGCUUAUCAGCUUGUUGGUGGGGUAGUGGCUUACCAAGGCUUUGACGGGUAGCCGGCCUGAGAGGGUGACCGGCCACAUUGGGACUGAGAUACGGCCCAGACUCCUACGGGAGGCAGCAGUGGGGAAUAUUGCACAAUGGGCGGAAGCCUGAUGCAGCAACGCCGCGUGAGGGAUGACGGCCUUCGGGUUGUAAACCGCUUUCGCCUGUGACGAAGCGUGAGUGACGGUAAUGGGUAAAGAAGCACCGGCUAACUACGUG
RNAcentral lists this ribosomal RNA (468 nucleotides) under uncultured bacterium. RNAcentral's name for it is "partial 16S ribosomal RNA". It matches the Rfam family "Bacterial small subunit ribosomal RNA", at positions 28 to 507 of the family's 1533-position model. The record is from RNAcentral.